GUUCUCUCCCUGUCUGCAUGGGUUUCACUCCAGGUACUUCAGUUUCCUCCCACAUCAAAGCUACGCAAGUUAAGUGAACCAGCACAUUUAAAUGGUCCCAGUCUGCGCGAGUGUGAGUACACCCUGCGAUACGAUGGCAUCCUGUCUAGGGCUGGUUCCUGCCUCGUUCCGCCAGUUGCUGAGAUACGCUCCCACUACCCAGGAGCCUGAAAUAAAACAACUGGAUAUUUCUGCAAAAUAAAAAAGCUCAAUGGAUUAUAGAAUGACAGCUACUUUCAAAAGAAACUUAUCUCAUUUUCAAGGCGCUACAUACUUCACACAUGACACACUUCAAAGCCGGUCAACAAUCAUUAUCAGAUAUUGACUCAGCGUGCACACACCUUACUGUACCACUCUCCACUUCUGACAAGCGGCGCCUUCAAUUAACUAACCACAAAUCAUUUUAACACUGUAUAUUACAUCUCAGAGGUAAAAAAGAGAAAAUAAAGCUUUUGGUGAUUAUGUGGGGGGGUUUUUUUUCCUGUUUUUUUUUUUUAAAGUCACAAGACCAAGUAAAAGACCAUCUAAACCAGAGGCACCCAAAAGAAGUAUCCUUUACAAUGGAAAUGUUCUAUAGCUGGGCUUUCUAAUAUCAUAGCUACUAGUCUCAUGACUUUGUUAGCAUUAAAUUAAUUAAAAUUAAAUUAGCUUAAAAUUUUAGUUCCUCAUUCUCAGUAGCCACAUUUCAAAUCCUCAAUAGCUGCAUAUGAUAAAUAAUUGAGGUUCAAACCCUAUUAAGAGUCCCACAUACAUACCUCAUUUAAAAUGCUAUUAAUAAUAGUGUAGAUAAACCCAAUGCCAGCAACUGCCACAAGACAUAGUAGAAACAAGUAGGCAUCUCUGUAGAGUUUAAAAUCAGUUGGUUUGGGAUACAAUAUGGAACGAACAAGCUGUCCUUUGGAAGUACUAAAUCCUUUCAAAAAAAGAAGACAAUUAUUGAUAUUUUUAUAAGAAAAUGAGAAUUAUCUCCCAAAACAGAAUCUCUCUUUUUUUUUUUUUGAGACAGAGUCUCGCUCUGUCACCCAGGCUGGAGUACAGUGGUGUGAUCUCGACUCACUGCAAGCUCCGCCUCCUGGGUUCACGCCAUUCUCCUGCCUCAGCCUCCCGAGUAGCUGGGACUGCAGGCGCCCGCCACCAGGCCCGGCUAAUUUUUUUGUAAUUUUGGUAGAGACGGGGUUUCACCAUGUUAGCCAGGAUGGUCUCAAUCUCCUGACCUCAUGAUCCGCCCACCUCGGCUUCCCAAAGUGCUGGGAUUACAGGCGUUAGCCACAGCACCCAGCCCAGAAUCUCUUUUUAAACAUUUA
Molecule: long non-coding RNA, 1343 nt
Filed under: Homo sapiens (human)
Lineage: Eukaryota; Metazoa; Chordata; Mammalia; Primates; Hominidae
Description: HSALNT0066773
Source: RNAcentral